GACGAACGCUGGCGGCGUGCUUAACACAUGCAAGUCGAACGGAAAGACCCUGCUUUUGUGGGGUGCUCGAGUGGCGAACGGGUGAGUAACACGUGAGUAACCUGCCCUUGACUUUGGGAUAACUUCAGGAAACUGGGGCUAAUACCGGAUAGGAGCUCCUGCUGCAUGGUGGGGGUUGGAAAGUUUCGGCGGUUGGGGAUGGACUCGCGGCUUAUCAGCUUGUUGGUGGGGUAGUGGCUUACCAAGGCUUUGACGGGUAGCCGGCCUGGGAGGGUGACCGGCCACAUUGGGACUGGGAUACGGCCCAGACUCCUACGGGAGGCAGCAGUGGGGAAUAUUGCACAAUGGGCGGAGGCCGGAUGCAGCAACGCCGGGUGCGGGAUGACGGCCUUCGGGUUGUAAACCGCUUUCGCCUGUGACGAAGCGUGAGUGACGGUAAUGGGGAAAGAAGCACCGGCUAACUACGU
This 467-nucleotide ribosomal RNA is filed under the name uncultured bacterium. RNAcentral describes it as "partial 16S ribosomal RNA". It matches the Rfam family "Bacterial small subunit ribosomal RNA", at positions 28 to 506 of the family's 1533-position model. The record is from RNAcentral.